GACGAACGCUGGCGGCGUGCUUAACACAUGCGAGUCGAACGGAAAGGCCCUGCUUUUGUGGGGUGCUCGAGUGGCGAACGGGUGAGUAACACGUGAGUAACCUGCCCUUGACUUUGGGAUAACUUCAGGAAACUGGGGCUAAUACCGGAUAGGAGCUCCUGCUGCAUGGUGGGGGUUGGAAAGUUUCGGCGGUUGGGGAUGGACUCGCGGCUUAUCAGCUUGUUGGUGGGGUAGUGGCUUACCAAGGCUUUGACGGGUAGCCGGCCUGAGAGGGUGACCGCCCACAUUGGGACUGAGAUACGGCCCAGACUCCUACGGGAGGCAGCAGUGGGGAAUAUUGCACAAUGGGCGGAAGCCUGAUGCAGCAACGCCGCGUGCGGGAUGACGGCCUUCGGGUUGUAAACCGCUUUCGCCUGUGACGAAGCGUGAGUGACGGUAAUGGGUAAAGAAGCACCGGCUAACUACGUG
Molecule: ribosomal RNA, 468 nt
Filed under: uncultured bacterium
Lineage: Bacteria
Description: partial 16S ribosomal RNA
Rfam family: Bacterial small subunit ribosomal RNA
Source: RNAcentral